This 253-nucleotide ribosomal RNA is filed under the name uncultured bacterium. RNAcentral's name for it is "partial 16S ribosomal RNA". It matches the Rfam family "Bacterial small subunit ribosomal RNA", at positions 524 to 776 of the family's 1533-position model. The record is from RNAcentral.
UACGAAGGGUGCAAGCGUUGUUCGGAAUUACUGGGCGUAAAGCGCGCGUAGGUGGUUUGAUAAGUUGGGAGUGAAAUCCCGGGGCUUAACUCCGGAAUUGCUUUCAAGACUGUCAAGCUAGAGUAUAGUAGGGGACAGUGGAAUUCCUAGUGUAGAGGUGAAAUUCGUAGAUAUUAGGAGGAACACCAGUGGCGAAAGCGACUGUCUGGACUAUUACUGACACUGAGGCGCGAAAGCGUGGGGAGCAAACAGG